GGAAGAGAAAGAAAAUUCGAUUCCCUUAGUAGCGGCGAGCGAAACGGGAAGAGCCCAAACCAACAAGCUUGCUUGUUGGGGUUGUAGGACACUCUAUACGGAGUUACAAAGGACGACAUUAGACGAAUCAUCUGGAAAGAUGAAUCAAAGAAGGUAAUAAUCCUGUAGUCGAAAAUGUUGUCUCUCUUGAGUGGAUCCUGAGUACGACGGAGCACGUGAAAUUCCGUCGGAAUCUGGGAGGACCAUCUCCUAAGGCUAAAUACUCUCUAGUGACCGAUAGUGAACCAGUACCGUGAGGGAAAGGUGAAAAGCACCCCGGAAGGGGAGUGAAAUAGAACCUGAAACCGUGUGCUUACAAGUAGUCAGAGCCCGUUAAUGGGUGAUGGCGUGCCUUUUGUAGAAUGAACCGGCGAGUUACGAUUUGAUGCAAGGUUAAGCAGUAAAUGUGGAGCCGUAGCGAAAGCGAGUCUGAAUAGGGCGUUUAGUAUUUGGUCGUAGACCCGAAACCAGGUGAUCUACCCUUGGUCAGGUUGAAGUUCAGGUAACACUGAAUGGAGGACCGAACCGACUUACGUUGAAAAGUGAGCGGAUGAACUGAGGGUAGCGGAGAAAUUCCAAUCGAACCUGGAGAUAGCUGGUUCUCUCCGAAAUAGCUUUAGGGCUAGCCUCAAGUGAUGAUUAUUGGAGGUAGAGCACUGUUUGGACGAGGGGCCCCUCUCGGGUUACCGAAUUCAGACAAACUCCGAAUGCCAAUUAAUUUAACUUGGGAGUCAGAACAUGGGUGAUAAGGUCCGUGUUCGAAAGGGAAACAGCCCAGACCACCAGCUAAGGUCCCAAAAUAUAUGUUAAGUGGAAAAGGAUGUGGCGUUGCCCAGACAACUAGGAUGUUGGCUUAGAAGCAGCCAUCAUUUAAAGAGUGCGUAAUAGCUCACUAGUCGAGUGACACUGCGCCGAAAAUGUACCGGGGCUAAACAUAUUACCGAAGCUGUGGAUUGUCCUUUGGACAAUGGUAGGAGAGCGUUCUAAGGGCGUUGAAGCAUGAUCGUAAGGACAUGUGGAGCGCUUAGAAGUGAGAAUGCCGGUGUGAGUAGCGAAAGACGGGUGAGAAUCCCGUCCACCGAUUGACUAAGGUUUCCAGAGGAAGGCUCGUCCGCUCUGGGUUAGUCGGGUCCUAAGCUGAGGCCGACAGGCGUAGGCGAUGGAUAACAGGUUGAUAUUCCUGUACCACCUAUAAUCGUUUUAAUCGAUGGGGGGACGCAGUAGGAUAGGCGAAGCGUGCGAUUGGAUUGCACGUCUAAGCAGUAAGGCUGAGUAUUAGGCAAAUCCGGUACUCGUUAAGGCUGAGCUGUGAUGGGGAGAAGACAUUGUGUCUUCGAGUCGUUGAUUUCACACUGCCGAGAAAAGCCUCUAGAUAGAAAAUAGGUGCCCGUACCGCAAACCGACACAGGUAGUCAAGAUGAGAAUUCUAAGGUGAGCGAGCGAACUCUCGUUAAGGAACUCGGCAAAAUGACCCCGUAACUUCGGGAGAAGGGGUGCUCUUUAGGGUUAACGCCCAGAAGAGCCGCAGUGAAUAGGCCCAAGCGACUGUUUAUCAAAAACACAGGUCUCUGCUAAACCGUAAGGUGAUGUAUAGGGGCUGACGCCUGCCCGGUGCUGGAAGGUUAAGAGGAGUGGUUAGCUUCUGCGAAGCUACGAAUCGAAGCCCCAGUAAACGGCGGCCGUAACUAUAACGGUCCUAAGGUAGCGAAAUUCCUUGUCGGGUAAGUUCCGACCCGCACGAAAGGCGUAACGAUUUGGGCACUGUCUCAACGAGAGACUCGGUGAAAUCAUAGUACCUGUGAAGAUGCAGGUUACCCGCGACAGGACGGAAAGACCCCGUGGAGCUUUACUGUAGCCUGAUAUUGAAAUUCGGCACAGCUUGUACAGGAUAGGUAGGAGCCUUUGAAACGUGAGCGCUAGCUUACGUGGAGGCGCUGGUGGGAUACUACCCUAGCUGUGUUGGCUUUCUAACCCGCACCACUUAUCGUGGUGGGAGACAGUGUCAGGCGGGCAGUUUGACUGGGGCGGUCGCCUCCUAAAAGGUAACGGAGGCGCUCAAAGGUUCCCUCAGAAUGGUUGGAAAUCAUUCAUAGAGUGUAAAGGCAUAAGGGAGCUUGACUGCGAGACCUACAAGUCGAGCAGGGUCGAAAGACGGACUUAGUGAUCCGGUGGUUCCGCAUGGAAGGGCCAUCGCUCAACGGAUAAAAGCUACCCCGGGGAUAACAGGCUUAUCUCCCCCAAGAGUUCACAUCGACGGGGAGGUUUGGCACCUCGAUGUCGGCUCAUCGCAUCCUGGGGCUGUAGUCGGUCCCAAGGGUUGGGCUGUUCGCCCAUUAAAGCGGUACGCGAGCUGGGUUCAGAACGUCGUGAGACAGUUCGGUCCCUAUCCGUCGUGGGCGUAGGAAAUUUGAGAGGAGCUGUCCUUAGUACGAGAGGACCGGGAUGGACAUACCUCUGGUGUACCAGUUGUCGUGCCAACGGCAUAGCUGGGUAGCUAUGUGUGGACGGGAUAAGUGCUGAAAGCAUCUAAGCAUGAAGCCCCCCUCAAGAUGAGAUUUCCCAACUUCGGUUAUAAGAUCCCUCAAAGAUGAUGAGGUUAAUAGGUUCGAGGUGGAAGCAUGGUGACAUGUGGAGCUGACGAAUACUAAUCGAUCGAAGACUUAAUCAA
Molecule: ribosomal RNA, 2707 nt
Filed under: Staphylococcus aureus
Lineage: Bacteria; Bacillati; Bacillota; Bacilli; Caryophanales; Staphylococcaceae
Also listed under: 32 other names
Description: bacterial LSU rRNA
Rfam family: Bacterial large subunit ribosomal RNA
Source: RNAcentral